This 324-nucleotide unclassified non-coding RNA is filed under the name Hevea brasiliensis (rubber tree). Lineage: Eukaryota; Viridiplantae; Streptophyta; Magnoliopsida; Malpighiales; Euphorbiaceae. The record is from RNAcentral.
AUCUUUCAGGCUUGAUGCUAUAAAUUUCCACUUGAAGUUAUUAAUCCGGCCUAGCUGAAAAUAACAUCUACAACAAUAAAAAUAAUGAGGAAUCCAAUAACAUUGAGAAAAGGAGAAGAAGAGUUAAUAAAUGAAUGAGGAAAUGUGGGAAUAGUUACAUGCAUUGAUAUGGAACAUACAAUAAAAAAAAAAAAAGAAAAUGGUGGACAUAAUUAAGCUUGCAAAACGUGUUGGAGAUGCUUUUAUGAAAUUUCAUGUAUCACAUUGUAUGAUUUGUACCUGUGAUGGUAACACUAAACUCUCAGGGAAUUAGGCAAAGGGCUG